Long non-coding RNA from Juglans regia (Persian walnut), 1363 nucleotides. RefSeq lists it as uncharacterized. The record is from RefSeq and is a predicted model, not a curated record. Lineage: Eukaryota; Viridiplantae; Streptophyta; Magnoliopsida; Fagales; Juglandaceae. The transcript is spliced from 6 exons.
CAUAAGCUGGAUCCGUCCCACGCCGAAGCACGUCUCCCUGCAUGCACAUCACUGAUGCACGUUUCUUCCCCCCAUUUUUUACUAGGGUUUUCAACAACGCCACACACUUAAUUUCACUAAACUUCUAUUUGCACCUAAAUCAUCUUCCCCAAGCUAGGGUUGCCGCCGCAUGCAGUAGCCAUCCUUCUUCCUCAUUAACCCCACGUAUAUUCACCACCCCGGCCAGUCCCAACCAGUAUUGCAUGCACGCACGGCCAUUAACAGCCGCUGCCACCAGCCUCCAUCUGGUAGCCCCACCGUAGUGCCCCCUGCUCAGCCACCGUAGCCACUGCAGAAGCUCCACGCACGGAACCGCAACGUCAAGCUUGCGGUUGUUGAGAAACACCAACCCGAAAGUCAGUCCCUUUGCGUCCAACCGUCAGCCCUUGGCGGCCUGGCCGUGACUACCAAACCUCACUGCCCACCCUGCCCCUCACCCACUCGUGGUGCCACCACCGUAACCCAGCCGCAAAUCCACAGUGCAAGGCUCACGUCGAAGGCUCUGUUUUCACCAUACCGAAACAGAGCAUCCUGAAGAUCAUUGCUCCCGAUUCCGUUAGGCGCCGCCAGCCUCGGCACGGUGAAGUCCAGCUCUCCGGCGUGUUCACCUCAGCCGCAUAGCUCCGCCUGAGUGCCCCCUGCACGCCUCCAUCGCUCUCGUCCUCUUCCACCUCGCCGACCAUCCACGACCGCCGCUCGUUGCCUCUCUCGGUGAGUCCUCUGGUGCCUGGCCACACAACCAAACGGACGUACGUAGGCCGAUUGCCAAAUCUGAAAAAAAUAAGGAAUGUCGUGGAAAGCAAAAGGUGGUUCACAGUACAGGCUCCAAAAGCUAUACUCGAUAUGCUAGUGAGUGGGAAAAAAAAACCGGCGCCUUGCCAAGUCGAGCACAAUUAUUUGUAAAUACUCACAAACGUAAGAACGGCACACAUUUGAACAAUGAAACAAAAAAAAUAGUGACUGAAAUGGAGGAGCUCCUUACCCAAGACCCCACCUCUAGACUAGGGGGCACUGGAGGGACCAUGACUUGGGCUACUGAUGAUAUUUACUCUAAGGUCAUGGGCCCAGAAUGUCAUGGCCGAGUGCGCGGUUUAGGUUUUGGGCAAACCACAAAAAAGGGGUGCAGCACGUAUUCAACAUCUACAUUAACAUCCAAUGAUAGUAGCCAAAUUGCCAAUAUGCAAUCGGUGAUGGAGAUGAUGCAGAACGAGUACCAUUCAUAAUGAGAAUGGAGAAAAUAGGAACUGCGAUGCAGAGAACCACAAUGAAAAUGAAGAAGAAGUGGAAGAGGAUGAUGAUGAUACUGAUGAUGAUGACGAGGGAG